UACGUAGGGGGCAAGCGUUGUCCGGAUUUAUUGGGCGUAAAGAGCGUGUAGGCGGCCAUACAGGUCAGCUGUGAAAACUCGAGGCUCAACCUCGAGACGUCGGUUGAAACCGUAUGGCUAGAGUCCGGAAGAGGAGAGUGGAAUUCCCGGUGUAGCGGUGAAAUGCGCAGAUAUCGGGAAGAACACCCGUGGCGAAGGCGGCUCUCUGGGACGGUACUGACGCUGAGACGCGCAAAGCGUGGGAGGCAACAGGGAUA
Molecule: ribosomal RNA, 257 nt
Filed under: uncultured bacterium
Lineage: Bacteria
Description: partial 16S ribosomal RNA
Rfam family: Bacterial small subunit ribosomal RNA
Source: RNAcentral